GGUGGCGUCUUCGACGCUCAUGAGCCAUUUCCUUUGAGAACAAUGACCUCCACCGCGGGUCCAUCUCCCUCUACUUCGUGUUAAUAAAUUGUCGAAAAAAAGGAUCUUGACUUCACUAUAUUCUCCUCUUCCUACUGGCUACGAUCUCUCCAGUCUUCUCAAGUGAAUAAGAAGUCUGAUGAUGCAUGCUCGAAAUAGUCCAAGUUACAAUCAAGGAUUUCCAGUCUAUUUGAGAAGUUAAAGCAUGAUUUUGGUUGAAGCUGUCAGGAGAUUCCAGCCGCUAGUCCCCACUUCGAGUCGUGACGAUUUUCUAUUUUUGGACUUUUAGUUUCUUUGUUAUGUUCCUACAUACUUGUGAUGUGUGGUUGUACUCGAGGAUUUUUAUAUCGUGUUUUGGUCUACUACCUUUGAUUUUUCGCUGUGAAGGUUUUGCGUUGUGUUGUGUUUUCUGUGUUAUAAACUGCGUGGUUG
This is a long non-coding RNA of Zingiber officinale, 471 nucleotides long. RefSeq lists it as uncharacterized. The record is from RefSeq and is a predicted model, not a curated record. Lineage: Eukaryota; Viridiplantae; Streptophyta; Magnoliopsida; Zingiberales; Zingiberaceae. The transcript is spliced from 3 exons.